Molecule: small RNA, 107 nt
Filed under: Marmota monax (woodchuck)
Lineage: Eukaryota; Metazoa; Chordata; Mammalia; Rodentia; Sciuridae
Source: RNAcentral
GCCAGGUGCAGUGGUGUACACCUGUAAUCCCAGUUAUUUGGGAGGCUGAGGCAGAAGGAUCCUUAAUCUGAGGCUAGCCUGGGCCACUUAGCCAGAACCUGUCUCCA